GGCAGCAGCUAAGAAUAUUCCGCAAUGGACGAAAGUCUGACGGAGCGACGCCGCGUGGAUGAUGAAGGCCGGAAGGUUGUAAAAUCCUUUUAGGUGCGAGGAAUAAGUAAGGUGAGAGAAACGCCUUAUGGUGACGGUAGCACCUGAAUAAGCAACGGCUAAUUACGUGCCAGCAGCCGCGGUAACACGUAAGUUGCGAGCGUUGUUCGGAAUUAUUGGGCGUAAAGGGCAUGUAGGCGGUAAUGCAAGUCUGGUGUGAAAUCCCGGGGCUUAACCCCGGAACUGCGUUGGAAACUGCAAUACUUGAGUCACUGAGGGGCAGGCAGAAUUCCUGGUGUAGGGGUGAAAUCUGUAGAUAUCAGGAAGAAUACCAAUGGCGAAGGCAGCCUGCCAGCAGAUGACUGACGCUGAGGUGCGAAGGUGCGGGGAGCAAACAGGAUUAGAUACCCUGGUAGUCCGCACAGUCAACUAUGUACACUGGAUGUCUGGCCAGAAGGCUGGGUGUCGAAGCAAACGCGAUAAGUGUACCGCCUGGGGAGUAUGCCCGCAAGGGUGAAACUCAAAGGAAUUGACGG
This 575-nucleotide ribosomal RNA is filed under the name uncultured rumen bacterium. Its description in RNAcentral is "bacterial SSU rRNA". It matches the Rfam family "Bacterial small subunit ribosomal RNA", at positions 347 to 916 of the family's 1533-position model. The record is from RNAcentral.